Limanda limanda (common dab) is the source of this 529-nucleotide long non-coding RNA. RefSeq lists it as uncharacterized. The record is from RefSeq and is a predicted model, not a curated record. NCBI's taxonomy places the organism in Eukaryota, Metazoa, Chordata, Actinopteri, Pleuronectiformes, Pleuronectidae. The transcript has 5 exons.
GAUCCUUGUUGCCAGCUCCUGCUCUGCUAUUCAACCUGCUGAUGGAAUUAUAAUAACCACACAUGAACAGAAAUGUGUGAAUGCCAAAGUGUGCUGUGCCUGCUGUCUGAGCACAAGAGCGUCCUGACUGCCCCUGUGUCUGCUGUCCAACCUGCGUGUGAAUGCAGUUCUCUGAGACUGCAAGUCCAUUGGAAGUAGUUGGGGAGGCACCAAUGAAAGCUGAUUUCAAACCCAGGUGGCCGGCUCUCUUCCAUGUGCAUGAGGUGUGUGUGGAAUUCAAGAGAAUCACAACGAUCCAUUUAGAGUCAAAGUUCUUCUCUGAGCUGGAUGCUCACUCAGACCCAAUCCAGGUGUUUGCCAAGAAAGGCGGAGUUCAGGGAGACGGAUCAGAAGCAUCAUGGGACCCAUGACUGAGCCGGUGGAUGAGCAGGGCCUGUCUGGCCUCCCUCUCUCUCCGAGAGGGCGAGCGAGGGGGACACUGACCGGCACAGCUGGAGAGAGAGAGAGAGAUGUAAGCUCUGAUGAUCAC